AAGAUUAAGCCCCGGAAUUCAAGCUUGCUUGUCUCAAAGAUUAAUCCCCGGAAUUCACAUGGAAACCAUCCCCUUCUGGGGUAGUAUUUAUUAGAUGGAAACCAACCCCUUUGGGGGGAUGUGCUGAUUCAUAAUAAGCUUGCGAAUGCCAUGGGCAACCGGGAAGGGAUGGUUCAGGUUUCCGCCGUAUCAGCUUUGGAAGGGAGGGUAUUGGCCUACCAUGGCUUUGGGAGGUAACGGGAAAUUAGGGUUUGAUUCCGGAGGGGGAGCGUGAGAGACUGCUACCACCUCCACGGAAGGCGGCAGGGACGUAAAUUACCCAAUCCUGACCCUAGGAGGUAGGGACAAUAAAAAACAAUGCCGGGCCCUAUCGGGUCUGGCAAUUGGAAUGAGAACAAUUUGGAACCCUUAUCCAGGAUCAAUUGGAGGGCAAGUCUGGUGCCAGCAGCCGCGGUAAUUCCAGCUCCAAUAGCGUAUAUUAAAGUUGUUCCUGUUAAACAGCUCGUAUGUGAAUUUCUGGUACCUCCUGAGGCCGGAUUCUGGUGCUAUUGGAAGAUGCCAUCCUUGGAUGCAAUC
This 576-nucleotide ribosomal RNA is filed under the name uncultured eukaryote. Its description in RNAcentral is "bacterial SSU rRNA". It matches the Rfam family "Eukaryotic small subunit ribosomal RNA", at positions 173 to 701 of the family's 1831-position model. The record is from RNAcentral.